RNAcentral lists this ribosomal RNA (253 nucleotides) under uncultured bacterium. RNAcentral's name for it is "partial 16S ribosomal RNA". It matches the Rfam family "Bacterial small subunit ribosomal RNA", at positions 524 to 776 of the family's 1533-position model. The record is from RNAcentral.
UACGGAGGAUGCAAGCGUUAUCCGGAAUGAUUGGGCGUAAAGCGUCCGCAGGUGGCUGUGUAAGUCUGCUGUUAAAGAGUGAGGCUCAACCUCAUAAAGGCAGUGGAAACUACAUGGCUAGAGUGCGUUCGGGGCAGAGGGAAUUCCUGGUGUAGCGGUGGAAUGCGUAGAGAUCAGGAAGAACACCGGUGGCGAAAGCGCUCUGCUAGGCCGCAACUGACACUGAGGGACGAAAGCUAGGGGAGCGAAUGGG